UCCACGUUAUCCGUGGCAGUCCCCCUAGAGUGCGCCCUUGCGGGCUGGCAACUAAGGGCGAGGGUUGCGCUCGUUGCGGGACUUAACCCAACAUCUCACGACACGAGCUGACGACAGCCAUGCAGCACCUCUAUCGCGGCCCCUUGCGGGGAGACCGGCUUUCACCGGCUGUCCUGCCCAUGUCAAGCCCUGGUAAGGUUCUUCGCGUAGCUUCGAAUUAAACCGCACGCUCCGCUGCUUGUGCGGGCCCCCGUCAAUUCCUUUGAGUUUCAACCUUGCGGUCGUACUCCCCAGGCGGGGUACUUCCUGCGUUAGCGCCGGCACCCAAGGGGUCGCUCCCCCAGGCACCUAGUACCCAUCGUUUACGGCGUGGACUAC
This 378-nucleotide unclassified non-coding RNA is filed under the name uncultured bacterium. RNAcentral's name for it is "contains 16S-23S intergenic spacer region". The record is from RNAcentral.